CUAUUGUGGCACAACAAGCGACUGUAUUAACUAAAUGCACCACAAAAAUAAAGAAUAAAAAAAAAAAUAGGAAUGACAAAUGUUGCAAUAUGUGAAACGCCUCGAAUGGGGUGAGGUGUAGCGGGCCGACUUGAAUCUCUCUUGAUGUCUUUUCCUUGGGCAGAGCAAGGGCUGCGAUACCCGACAUACACUCGUGCUAAUCUUUUCGUAGCUAGACCGUGGGGAUCAUCGCUCUCCGGGCUGGUUACCGCGGUGAGGUCCCAACGACUCUGGUUGCUGCAUGAGCACCCCUUGACGGAGGGGACCUGAUACGGGAUUCCAUUAAUCCCGGGGGGAUCUUUGCCCUUGAGGCGCACUCCCCACCUACACAUAUAUACACCACACGACUCACACUCGCAACCUUCCUAACCUCACCUACCAACCUCUGCCCCCACACACCCCUCCUCCUCUUCACUUAUCCCUUCUUUGUUUGUCGAACUCUGUGGGUGCCUGCCACGGAAUCGGGGGACCCCGAGAACUUGAGACCGUAUCUCUGGUACAGAAGGGACGAUGGCCCAUAAGGGGGGGAUGGCAUACCGCUAAGUGCCAUUGUCUGUCCUAACUCUCAAUUGCAGAGGCCUGAAUAUCCCAGAACGAAG
Non-coding RNA from Pelobates cultripes (western spadefoot toad), 638 nucleotides. Lineage: Eukaryota; Metazoa; Chordata; Amphibia; Anura; Pelobatidae. The record is from the annotation of a GenBank genome assembly.